GAUUUUAAAAGCAUAUGCAAUGACUAGCUGAUUACAAAUAGAUUUUAGAAAAAACUAUCUACGAUGAUAAUAUAUAUACAUUUCUCAGAUCGAAACAUUUAAGAAACUUGCUCCUGAUUUUAUAAAUUUCAUAUGUGUUUUGUUACAGAAUGAACGUUGAUGUUGUUGUACCCUUUUUUCAUUCCCCGCCUAACGUAGACCCAAUACAAACCGUAGCAUCCCCUUUAAAUCUUCCCCAAUUCCUCCUCAUUACUAGGCGUCCACAACCUCUCCUCGUCGAUGAUAAUAGCUGCGUCCAAAACGUGCACGAACUCUUCGGUUCUUUGCUUGCAAGUCUCCCUAGACGAGCACCUCCGCUCAGCCCAACCAACCCAUCAGCUUGGCCUGCACCCCGCAUUCUCGCGCGCACGAGUCAUUUAUU
This 421-nucleotide long non-coding RNA is filed under the name Setaria viridis. RNAcentral's name for it is "long non-coding RNA (SVIR_LNC009937)". The record is from RNAcentral. Lineage: Eukaryota; Viridiplantae; Streptophyta; Magnoliopsida; Poales; Poaceae.